UACGGAGGGGGCCAGCGUUGUUCGGAAUUACUGGGCGUAAAGCGCACGUAGGCGGCUUUGUAAGUUAGAGGUGAAAGCCCAGGGCUUAACCCUGGAAUUGCCUUUAAGACUGCAUCGCUAGAAUCGUGGAGAGGUGAGUGGAAUUCCGAGUGUAGAGGUGAAAUUCGUAGAUAUUCGGAAGAACACCAGUGGCGAAGGCGACUCACUGGACACGUAUUGACGCUGAGGUGCGAAAGCGUGGGGAGCAAACAGG
This 253-nucleotide ribosomal RNA is filed under the name uncultured bacterium. RNAcentral's name for it is "partial 16S ribosomal RNA". It matches the Rfam family "Bacterial small subunit ribosomal RNA", at positions 524 to 776 of the family's 1533-position model. The record is from RNAcentral.